AAUAGCCUAACGGCUGAACCAGCAACUUGGAAGAAUGUAUAACGAAUAAGUCGUAUAAAAUUCUAGAUAGAAAACUGAUAAUGACUAUUAUCUAUCUAUUAGUCUUGACCAAAUUACGUGCCAGCAGUCGCGGCAACACGCAGAAGACAAGUGUUAUUCAUCUUUAAUCGGUUUAAAGGGUACCUAGACGGUAAAUCAAGCCUUAGUAGGGACUAAUUUUCUAGAGUUUUAUGGGAGAAAGUCGAAUAUCUGGAAGAGAGAUAAAAUAUUGUGAUACCAGAAAGACGGGCAACGGCGUAGGCUACUUUCUAUGUAAAAACUGACGUUGAGGGACGAAGCCCUGGGUAACGAGAAGGAUUAGAUACCCCAGUAGUCCAGGGAGACAAUGAUGAGUGCCAUAGGCUAGGUAAAUUAGUCUAUAAAUGAAAGUGCAAGCAUUCCACCUCAAGAGUAAAGCGGCAACGCCCAAAUUGAAAUCAUUAGACCGUUCCUGAAACCAGUAGUGAAGUAUGUUAUUUAAUUCGAUAAUACGCGAAUAACCUUACCACGUUUUGAAUACGAAGGGAGAAAAGUAUUGCAGGAUGCUUUCAUAAACCCCUACCUACAAGCGCUGCACGGCUGUCUUUAGUUAAUGUCGUGAGACUUUGGUUAACCCCUUUAAUUAACGAAAACCCUUGUUUUAUUUGUUUAAAUAAAACAGUUCUCCGCUAUAUUGGAUAAGAUAAUAGGGAUUAAGGCAAGUCAUCAUGGCCUAAAUAACGU
RNAcentral lists this ribosomal RNA (762 nucleotides) under Placopyrenium bucekii. RNAcentral's name for it is "SSU rRNA". It matches the Rfam family "Bacterial small subunit ribosomal RNA", at positions 370 to 1210 of the family's 1533-position model. Lineage: Eukaryota; Fungi; Ascomycota; Eurotiomycetes; Verrucariales; Verrucariaceae. The record is from RNAcentral.